RNAcentral lists this ribosomal RNA (525 nucleotides) under Haplodrassus umbratilis. RNAcentral describes it as "partial large subunit ribosomal RNA". Lineage: Eukaryota; Metazoa; Arthropoda; Arachnida; Araneae; Gnaphosidae. The record is from RNAcentral.
GUAGGGCUUUCCCACCAGGGAGCCGUCCGACUCUGGUGAUUCCGCGGGAUUCAGACGCACUUGUCUCUCGUCCGAAGGACGCUGCAGCCGGUGGGGCACGGAAAGCGCGACGGCCUGAAGGCCGGGAGCCGGCAGGUGGCCAGUGGUUCGUCUAGGCGGAUCGUUGGUUGUUAGCCAUCCCCGGCAGUGGCUCGUCGCCCCACCGAGGUAUCACGAGGCCCCUUUGGGCUCCUCCGCCUCCUCCUCCAGGCAGCCGGGACAGACGUUCGCAGGCGAAGCUUUCCGACCCGAACCACUCUCUGGAGUGGCCGGGUGAGCGGGCCUCGCCGAUGGCGUUCGCGGACCCGUCGGAGGCCGGUGGCUGGCAGCGAGUAGGUCGGUCACCCACCCGACCCGUCUUGAAACACGGACCAAGGAGUCUAACAUGUGCGCGAGUCAAUGGGUCUUGAACAGGCCCAGGGGCGCAACGAAAGCGAAGGCCGUCGUCGACGGCCGAGUUGGGAUCCCUCCCCUCGAGGGGGGGGC